GUAGGUGGCAAGCGUUGUCCGGAAUUAUUGGGCGUAAAGCGCGCGCAGGCGGUUCUUUAAGUCUGAUGUGAAAGCCCACGGCUCAACCGUGGAGGGUCAUUGGAAACUGGAGAACUUGAGUACAGAAGAGGAAAGCGGAAUUCCACGUGUAGCGGUGAAAUGCGUAGCGAUGUGGAGGAACACCAGUGGCGAAGGCGGCUUUCUGGUCUGUAACUGACGCUGAGGCGCGAAAGCGUGGGGAGCAAACAGGGAUUAGAUACCCUGGUAGUCCACGCCGUAAACGAUGAGUGCUAAGUGUUAGGGGGGUUUCCGCCCCCUUAGUGCUGCAGCUAACGCAUUAAGCACUCCGCCUGGGGAGUACGGCCGCAAGGCUG
Molecule: ribosomal RNA, 374 nt
Filed under: uncultured organism
Description: partial 16S ribosomal RNA
Rfam family: Bacterial small subunit ribosomal RNA
Source: RNAcentral